GUGGGGAAUAUUGGACAAUGGGCGAAAGCCUGAUCCAGCCAUGCCGCGUGAGUGAUGAAGGCCCUAGGGUUGUAAAGCUCUUUCAGUGGGGAAGAUAAUGACGGUACCCACAGAAGAAGCCCCGGCUAACUUCGUGCCAGCAGCCGCGGUAAUACGAAGGGGGCUAGCGUUGUUCGGAUUUACUGGGCGUAAAGCGCACGUAGGCGGAUUGUUAAGUCGAGGGUGAAAUCCCAGGGCUCAACCCUGGAACUGCCUUCGAUACUGGCAAUCUUGAGUCCGGAAGAGGUGAGUGGAACUCCUAGUGUAGAGGUGGAAUUCGUAGAUAUUAGGAAGAACACCAGUGGCGAAGGCGGCUCACUGGUCCGGUACUGACGCUGAGGUGCGAAAGCGUGGGGAGCAAACAGGAUUAGAUACCCGGGUAGUCC
RNAcentral lists this ribosomal RNA (425 nucleotides) under uncultured bacterium. Its description in RNAcentral is "partial 16S ribosomal RNA". It matches the Rfam family "Bacterial small subunit ribosomal RNA", at positions 354 to 796 of the family's 1533-position model. The record is from RNAcentral.